Molecule: ribosomal RNA, 253 nt
Filed under: uncultured bacterium
Lineage: Bacteria
Description: partial 16S ribosomal RNA
Rfam family: Bacterial small subunit ribosomal RNA
Source: RNAcentral
UACGUAGGGUGCAAGCGUUGUCCGGAAUUAUUGGGCGUAAAGAGCUCGUAGGCGGUUUGUCGCGUCUGCUGUGAAAACUCGGGGCUUAACUCCGGGCCUGCAGUGGGUACGGGCAGACUAGAGUGCGGUAGGGGAGACUGGAAUUCCUGGUGUAGCGGUGAAAUGCGCAGAUAUCAGGAGGAACACCGAUGGCGAAGGCGGGUCUCUGGGCCGUAACUGACGCUGAGGAGCGAAAGCGUGGGGAGCGAACAGG